Molecule: ribosomal RNA, 220 nt
Filed under: uncultured bacterium
Lineage: Bacteria
Description: partial 16S ribosomal RNA
Rfam family: Bacterial small subunit ribosomal RNA
Source: RNAcentral
GACGAACACUGGCGGCAUGCCUAAUACAUGCAAGUCGAACGAGCUUCCGUUGAAUGACGUGCUUGCACUGAUUUCAACAAUGAAGCGAGUGGCGAACUGGUGAGUAACACGUGGGAAAUCUGCCCAGAAGCAGGGGAUAACACUUGGAAACAGGUGCUAAUACCGUAUAACAACAAAAUCCGCAUGGAUUUUGUUUGAAAGGUGGCUUCGGCUAUCACUU